Molecule: ribosomal RNA, 393 nt
Filed under: uncultured bacterium
Lineage: Bacteria
Description: partial 16S ribosomal RNA
Rfam family: Bacterial small subunit ribosomal RNA
Source: RNAcentral
AUACGUAGGGGGCGAGCGUUGUCCGGAAUGAUUGGGCGUAAAGGGCGUGUAGGCGGUUUGGCAAGUCAGAAGUGAAAUUCCCGGGCUUAACUUGGGCGCUGCUUCUGAAACUGCUUAACUUGAGUGCUGGAGAGGAUAGUGGAAUUCCUAGUGUAGCGGUAAAAUGCGCAGAUAUUAGGAGGAACACCGGUGGCGAAGGCGGCUAGCUUGACAGUAACUGACGCGGGGGCGAGAAAGCGCGGGGAGCAAACAUUGAUAGAUCCCCUGGGAGUCCGCCCAGUAAUCGAUGAAAACUGGUUUUCGGCGAUAUAAUGUCGGAGGCGAAGCGAAAGCGAUAAGUAUUCCACCUGGGGAGUACGCCGGCAACGGUGAAACUCAAAUGAAUUGGCGGGG